GACGAACGCUGGCGGCGUGCUUAACACAUGCAAGUCGAGCGGUAAGGCCUUUCGGGGUACACGAGCGGCGAGCGGGUGAGUAACACGUGGGUGAUCUGCCCUGCACUUCGGGAUAAGCCUGGGAAACUGGGUCUAAUACCGGAUAUGACCUCCUAUCGCAUGGUGGGUGGUGGAAAGAUUUAUCGGUGCAGGAUGGGCCCGCGGCCUAUCAGCUUGUUGGUGGGGUAAUGGCCUACCAAGGCGACGACGGGUAGCCGACCUGAGAGGGUGACCGGCCACACUGGGACUGAGACACGGCCCAGACUCCUACGGGAGGCAGCAGUGGGGAAUAUUGCACAAUGGGCGAAAGCCUGAUGCAGCGACGCCGCGUGAGGGAUGACGGCCUUCGGGUUGUAAACCUCUUUCAGCAGGGACGAAGCGCAAGUGACGGUACCUGCAGAAGAAGCACCGGCUAACUACGUG
This 462-nucleotide ribosomal RNA is filed under the name uncultured bacterium. Its description in RNAcentral is "partial 16S ribosomal RNA". It matches the Rfam family "Bacterial small subunit ribosomal RNA", at positions 28 to 507 of the family's 1533-position model. The record is from RNAcentral.